Molecule: unclassified non-coding RNA, 215 nt
Filed under: Hevea brasiliensis (rubber tree)
Lineage: Eukaryota; Viridiplantae; Streptophyta; Magnoliopsida; Malpighiales; Euphorbiaceae
Source: RNAcentral
GAGCCAAGAGAAGUUCAUAUGUUUGUUGACUUAUUUCUUCAGGAGUUGGAAACAAUAGGUUCUGAGGUGAAGCAGGUUUUAUCACAAGGAGUUCUUCGCAAGCAUCGUCGCUCUGAAAGCAAUGGUAGCACUGCAUCCUCUCGCAGCAAUCCAUUGCGAGAUGAUAAAAUGAGUCGGACAAAUACUCAAAGGGCCAGGAGCCAGCUUCUGGAAAC